This 383-nucleotide long non-coding RNA is filed under the name Sorghum bicolor (sorghum). RNAcentral's name for it is "long non-coding RNA (SBIC_LNC005243)". The record is from RNAcentral. Lineage: Eukaryota; Viridiplantae; Streptophyta; Magnoliopsida; Poales; Poaceae.
GUGUGUGUAUGGGUUUUCCUCACCUUCUCCUGAGAAAGGUUGUUUUUGAAUAAAUUCUAUGUAUUCGGGGUCUAUCUCAAAACUAGAUGCUAUGAUAGGCUUUGAAGAUUUUGGUGGUUCGAGAUGUGUGCCCAUAGGUCUAUGAAAUUCAUAGAUAGACAUGUUUGAAUUCAUAAUAGACCAGAGAUCAAGGAUUAGAUAAGAAGAAAGAUUAGCAGAGAUGAGGCAAAGGAUAAAAGGAAAAUAUAUUUUUUUUAUUUUUCUUUUAGAAAAUGAUUAAGCUAGUUCGUAGUCAACUCAGCAACCGUUUCCCCGGCAACGGCGUCAAAAAUGCUUGUUGACACUUGCUAACACCACUUGAAUACUAGGUUGUCAUCCCCAGC